Long non-coding RNA from Anneissia japonica, 733 nucleotides. RefSeq lists it as uncharacterized. The record is from RefSeq and is a predicted model, not a curated record. NCBI's taxonomy places the organism in Eukaryota, Metazoa, Echinodermata, Crinoidea, Comatulida, Comatulidae. The transcript has 4 exons.
CUUUUUGAUAAAAAUGUUAGAUAUUUACUGUUUACGUGCACAUGUGGUUGAACAUCCUGGGCGUUGAUAUCUAGGCCUAGGCCUACAGUUUUGUUCAAUAAUAGUGGAAAUUAAAGCAAUUAAAUUUUUAUAAUGUGAAAAGUUUGAGUGAUCUUCAAGCCAUGAAUACUGUACACCACCACCUCUUUACCUUGCAGCAGAAUAUGAAAAGGUUGAGUGAUGAAUACUGUACACCACCACCUACAGUACUUUACCUUGCAGCAGGAAAACACUUGCCAAGCACAGAUGUAUAGUGGGUUGUCAAGACUACUAGUAGCAUUCAGUAGGAGCUUGUAAGCGUGAAGCAGAUAAAUGAUUGGCAGACUGAUUUGUGGGAAGCAUGCUAUGUAUAAAUAAAGCAGAUGAACUGUGGCAAACCAAGGCGUUUUACAGAAGGUUUCAGCCUAAAAACAAACUGUGGGAAAGCAAGACUAGUGUGUUUGAACCCUGUUAUACUGGUAUUUGAAGCAACACUUAGCAAAAUCAGAUUUUUGAAACGAAGAAAGUGUACAGUACUAUGAAAAGUCAUAUUUUAGAUAUAGAAUUGUGGGAAAUAAAGACUGAUUUGUUUGAAUUACAGUACAUACACUGUACCUGCAGCUUAGCGAACUCUAUUAUGUGGAGAUAAAGCAGAUGGAUUGUGGAACGUCUACAUUGCAACAGACAUUUAUUGUGCAUUCAUAAAACAGAUGGU